GAAAGAAAGAAUACCUUUCCAAAUAAGACACAAAGAUUUGAGACUUCAGAACAAUUAGAAUUCCCUGCCUUAUGGAGCUCAUAUUCUGUUGGGGAACAUACAGAAAUCUUGCAUAUUAGUAGGAAAGCACAAUAAAAAAUGAACUAUAAAUAGCUGACAAGGCUGUUAACACAAGUGGUAUUAAACACCAGAAAAGUGUUCACUCUCCCUCAAAACAAAUGAAAUGUAAGAUCUCCCUGGUUGUCUAGUGGAUAGGGAAAAAAAUAAGAAUAAAAAUGAGUCCAGUGCAGUGGCUCACGCCUGUAAUCCCAGCACUUUGGGAGGCCGAGGUGGGUGGAUUACCUGAGGUCAGGAGUUCGAGACCAGCCUGAUCCAUAUGGCAAAACCCCGUCUCUACUAAAAAUAGAAAAAUUAGCCGGGCAUGGUGGCAUAUGCAUGUAGUCCCAGCUACUUGGGAGACUGAGACAGAAAUGCUUGAAACCAGGAAGCAGAGGUUACGGUGAGCCAAGAUCACGCCAUUGCACUCCAGCCUGGGUGACAGAGAGACACACAAAAGAUUAUAAUAAAAAAUAAAAAUGAAAUGCAAGUUAAACUUUAGUAAGAUACCAUCUUCAUCCAUUGACUUUGCAAAAUCAAAAAGUAUAAUAAGGCCAGGCGCAGUGGCUCAUGCCUGUAAUCUCAAAGUACUGUGAUUACAGGUAAGAUGAGGGAUAGCUAGAAGCCAGGAGUUCAAGACCAGCCUGGGUAACAUGUUGAGACCCCAUCUCUACAAAAACUUUAAAAAAUUAGUUGGGCAUGUUGACACAUGCCUGUAGCCCUAGCAACCCAGGAGGCUGAGGUGGGAGGAUCGCUUGAGCCCAGGAGUUGAGGCUGCAGUGAGUUAUAACCAUGCCACUGCACUCCAGCCUGGGAAAUACACUGAGACCCUGUCUUUUUUUUUUUUUUUUUUUUUUUUUUUUUUUUUUUUUUUUUUUGAGACAGAUUCUCACUCUGUCGCCCAGGCUGGAGUGCAGUGACACUAUCUCAGCUCACUGCAAGCUCUGCCUCCCAGGUUCACACCAUUCUCCUGCCUCAGCCUCCCGAGUAGCUGGGACUACAGGUGCCUGCCACCACGCCUGGCUAAUUUUUUGUAUUUUUAGUAGAGACAGGGUUUCACCGUGUUAGCCAGGAUGAUCUCAAUCUCCUGACCUCACGAUCCGCCCGCCUCGGCCUCCCAAAGUACUGGGAUUACAGGCGUGCGCCACCAUGCCUGGCCAACCCUGUCUCUUAAAAAAAAAAAAAAAAGUAUAAUAAUAUGCCAUGUUGACAAAGGUAUACAGAAAUGGGCACUCUCUUGCAUCCUUGAUAUGAGUAUAGAUUGGUUCAACGUCUUUGAAAAGCAAUUUGUCAAUAUCUAUCACAAUUGCAAAUACUUGUGCUCUUUAGCCCAACAAUUUUGCUUCUAAGAAUUUAUGCUACAGAUAUAUUUGUAUAUGUGUGUAGUGGGAGGUAUAAAAGGCUGUUUGCUGUAUGUACCAUUGCUUCCAAUGGAGAAAGGUUGACACACAGCCUAGAUAUCUAUCACUAAGAGAGUAUUUAAACAAACAGGGACUCUAAAAUACUAGAAGUUGUUUAAAAAUAUAGAGUUGCUGAAAAGAAUGAGGCAGGUAUAUAUGUACAAAAGAUUCUUCAAAAUAUAUGAAGUGAACAAAAGCCAAGUUCUGAACAGUUAUGUACAAUGCUAUACUGGUAAAUGCUUAACAACAUAAAAACACUAUAAGUACACAGAUAUGUACAUGAGAUAAUUACAAAGUUUACUAAUAAAAAGGAUGUAUAGUACAUAAUUUGCAAAUAAAAUAUACAAGUCUUUAUUGUAAAUUCCAUUCUAUAAUGUCAAUGUGACUUGCUAUUUCUUAAAAAUUCCAAUGUCGUUAAUAAUUUUAUCAUCCAUGAUUGUGUCCCAAAAUAAUACUCUGAAUAAGCUUAAUUAUAAUUUGAUCAGCAGAGAAGUUGCUCAUAUCAUUGACAAAUGUGUGUGGUUCAAACAUGAAUGUUGGUUGAUAUUUCAUUUUUAUUCAUAAUUAAAAUGGAAAUGAGACAACAAAUAUGUAUGUUGGAACUUCACUUGUCUAUCAAUGACAUGAGCAACUUCUUUGCUGAAUUAGAUGAUAGUUUUUGAAUACUGGAAGAAUAUUUCCUGAAGUUUUUGUGCUCAUCACAAUGUAACAGACUCAGACAUAACACUCAUGUUAAUUCUUCUUCUUAUUAUUUUCUCCAUCACUUUCUUAAGUCUAGACCAAGAGUCAGCAAACCAUGGCCCUUGAGCCGAAUCUAGCCUGCUAUCUGGCUUUGCCAAUAAAGCCUGGAACAUAGCCACGUUCAUGACUUAUCCACGACUGCCUUUGCACUACAACAACAGGGUUGAGUGUUGCAACAGAGACCGUGUGGCCCACAAAGCCUAAAAUAUAUACUAUCUGGCCUUUUACAGACAACUUUUGCAGACCUCUGGUCCGGACAAUGAACAACCCAUAGAACAAGAUCUGAUUUGUAAUGUUUGCUGAUCUCCAAAGUGUAAAUACUCCCACCAUGACCAAUUGGAAGCCACUGACAAGUCCUCACUAAAUGCAGAAUUGAGAAGAAACACGAAUAGCACAUCAUUGUAUGGUAUUUCCACUCUACCAAUGGAUGUGAAUAACCUCAAGAACACAUAAUGUUGAGAUGUGGAAAAAUCAUCAGGAAGCCGUGAGUUUUGACUAUUUGCUUUUUAGCUAAUUAAUUAUAAGGUCACAUAAUUUAGUGUUUAAUAAUCACUAUGUUAACAACCAGCUCACAGCAUUCCUGAAAAUUUCACAGUUGGCUCCUGUAAGCUGAUAUGGCCAGCCCCAGCUCAUGACAGGUUACGGUAUGCUGUCAAUUGUGUGGAAAACGUAUCGGGAGGUCAUGACUGUAUAUCCACAUAAGCUUCUCUAUGCACAGAGUAUCUCUGGAAGAUGCAUAAGAAAUUGCAACAGCUGUUGCUUCCGCAGUGGGCAAAUGGAGGUCUGGGAGUUGAGUUGGGGAUGCACAUUUAUUUUUUACUAUAUGUUCUUUUGUAGAGAAUAUAAAUUGGUAUGAAUUUUUUAAGCAUAUGUCUGUGUUACCCUUAAAUCCCAAUGGAUCUUUUAUAAGCAAGCUCUUCCAUCUUUUUUUUCCCGAGUCUCCCCUUCACCCUGCAGUGUCUCUGCAAUGCUGGUAGAGUGGGCUGGCACAGCCCCCGCCUCUGGCCUGGUCCGGGUCCAACCUGCCUGCCUCCUGGGGCAGCAGCUCCCUGAACGAAGAGCCGCGGAGACCGAAGAACUCAGUGAAUCAGCAGUUCUCCCAGAUGAAACGCUGGCCUGAAAGCAGCCUCAAGAGCUUUGGCCCGUCACCUUGCCUUGCCUUCUCUUCCUUCCUCGUCCUCUGUUUGUUCAUCUUUCCUGAAAAAAUUAAGUCAGCUGUUCCCCUUAACCAAUUUCCCUGGCAUUCUGAAGGGUAGGCCACAUGGCCCACCUGCCAGCUACUCCCACCUGCCAAGCCUUCCUGACUAUAUUUACCCUGGUACUCCCAUGUCCCGGGGCUGCUUCAGCAGAGCCAAGGACACACCCAGGUGUUUGUUUUCUAGGUCAGAU
Molecule: long non-coding RNA, 3626 nt
Filed under: Homo sapiens (human)
Lineage: Eukaryota; Metazoa; Chordata; Mammalia; Primates; Hominidae
Description: non-protein coding lnc-CDYL-10:2
Source: RNAcentral